Molecule: non-coding RNA, 88 nt
Organism: Solanum lycopersicum (tomato)
Lineage: Eukaryota; Viridiplantae; Streptophyta; Magnoliopsida; Solanales; Solanaceae
Source: Rfam
GGAGAGAUGGUUGAGUGGAAUAAAGUGGUGGAUUGCCAAUCCGUUGUACGAGUUAAUCGUAUCGAGUGUUCGAAUCCCUCUCUUUCCG